RNAcentral lists this long non-coding RNA (347 nucleotides) under Ananas comosus (pineapple). Its description in RNAcentral is "long non-coding RNA (ACOM_LNC006992)". Lineage: Eukaryota; Viridiplantae; Streptophyta; Magnoliopsida; Poales; Bromeliaceae. The record is from RNAcentral.
UUCUUUAAUUCAAAGAGAAGACAUGUGAGACUGAGACAUGCGUUGUUGAAUUAUCUGAGAGAACAAGGAGUUAUCACCUUGAUCGAUGUGAGAUCGAAGGAUAACAUGGCCGAUACUCUCACAAAAGGUAUGCCUAAAGAUCGAUUAUUCAAAACAGUAGGGGAAAUGGGGUUAAAGACUAUGUAGACUAGUCUUAAUUACCAUUUACUUACCUUCUAAUUGUAUGUUUUGAAUUAUCGAAUCUUCCUUUGGUGGUCAAGCACAAUUUAUAUGUUUCAUCGAUGUUCAUGGUUGCAGACUAAUUUGAAAAGGGUGAGUUGUCUCAUUCCAAACUUGAUGAAGAUGAC